RNAcentral lists this long non-coding RNA (292 nucleotides) under Mytilus galloprovincialis (Mediterranean mussel). The record is from RNAcentral. Lineage: Eukaryota; Metazoa; Mollusca; Bivalvia; Mytilida; Mytilidae.
AAAAACAACAUUUAAUCAUGAACCAUUGAAUCCUGAGUUUCGUACAAGUACCAAAACAUUAAAGAUGGAUGCUUAUAAUGAGCUCAUAUUAGAACUAAAGUGUCCUCUUGAAUUACCACUGUACAUGUAGCAAGACAAAUCAUAUGCGGGACUGAAUUGAGGAAAAGAGCCAGGAAACUUACAUUCUACGAAACAUUUAAAAGACAAGAUGGCAAAGGGGGAGAGCAAUGAAACAUGAUACUUGCAAAAUUAAUUGUUUCUUUAAUUGUUUUAUCUAUGAACUUUAAAGGGG